Molecule: long non-coding RNA, 325 nt
Filed under: Mytilus galloprovincialis (Mediterranean mussel)
Lineage: Eukaryota; Metazoa; Mollusca; Bivalvia; Mytilida; Mytilidae
Source: RNAcentral
CUUUUAAGUUUUAGGGGCAAUAUUAAAAGACCGAUAUGUAGGAUAAAGUAAAAUUCGUAUUUCUCAUAAUCAUUAAUACCGGGUCUGUCUGUCUGCUCUUGUCUUGUAUUGUGCUGACUUUGAUGAUUUUUUUUAUGACUAGAUUUAAAUAUAGUGACAGUGCAGUAUUAUACUUUAAGUUCUAGUACUGCUUAAUUCAACACUAGGAACCAUCUUGACCUUCUUUUACAGUAUUAAUGAUUCUUUUAUUAUUGAGUACCCUCAGCAACUAUGAAGAUGAAGAACAGGAAUAAAAAUUUUGACCAUUGAUCAUUUGUAUUUUUUC